UGAAACGCAACAUUAUACCCUAAAUGUCCAC
This 31-nucleotide non-coding RNA is filed under the name Mus musculus (house mouse). Lineage: Eukaryota; Metazoa; Chordata; Mammalia; Rodentia; Muridae. The record is from RNAcentral.